AGUUUGCGUCUGAACUCCCCUCGGGAUGGAUGGCAAUUGACGGGAACCAGAGACUCUUCCCAUGAACGAAAACAACACGAACAAUGUCGCGAGAUGCCAUGACGAGAAGGAGUGACUGAGAGGAUCGUCCACAAGAUGGAAGCUGAGGCCUGGAGAGAGGCUUCAGGAGGAUCAGAGAUCACCUUCAGCACAGAGAGCUGUGCUACUGAGCUUCCAGGAGAUCGUCAUGAGGAGACUCUGCACAGCAAAAUCUUAAAUGACAUAAAAGACUUUCGACGUUGAGAAAGACAACUAAGGUGUACGACGUGCUCUGCCUUUUAAAUCUUCAGCAACGUUGAAUCAUGAGAACCUGAGGGAGCGUGCCAGGCUCCAAAAAGUGACAGCACAGAGGAGGUCCAGUGAUGGACUUGUGGUUCUGUGAACAGCACAAAUGCCAGGUGACUGUGAAAUAACUAACAGCACUUUUUCCACAAGUGAAGCCAGUAACUUGCUAUCCUACCAGAUUAGCUCUAGUUGCUUGUGCUUUACCUCCAUGCGUGAGAUCAGUAUGUGCAGCAGCUUAAGCUGUACAAUGUUUCAGGAUAUAGUUUUUCACCUUUUGAGACUGUUAGUUCAACACGAGGUAGAUGUCUACUACUGCAGACUAAAAUUACAUUUCUGUCACCUACAAACGCUUGUCUUUAAUGUUACUGUUACUCUCACAACCACAUAUUACCAUAAAGUGAUGCACAAUUCUGAAUCCGUCAAACCUUUUGCCAACGGAAGAAGAGGGCACUUCUCAUGAGUGUAGAGACCACGUAGAGAAGGAGUGUAAGCUGAGGGAUGACUUAAUAGCUGUGCCACUUGGUGAGGGAAAGGUUUGGUUUGUUGAGUUUUACAACAGUAGAGGGACAGACUAAAACAGGUUUUACUGUAGUAGAUAGUGAGAAAGUUAUCUGUGCAGGACAACUAGCAUGUUUCAUAUUUGCUUGAGCAGCAGAGAUAGUAGCUUUAACGGAAGCGUGUAAAGCUGCAGAGAAAUAAAAUGUGACAACAUACACUGAUAGCCAGUAUGCAUUUGCUACAUUACAUUUCUUUGUGAUGCAGUGGGUGAGACGAGGUGAGACAACCUCGACAGGGAAACCUGUAGCACACGCCAAACUCUUGCAAAAUCUGCUGGAGGCAGAGUUUUUACCCAGUAGAAUUGCCGUUUGUAAAUGUGAAGCACACAUGUGAGGGAAAGAUCCAGUUGCAUUAGGCAAUGCUUUUGCACAUAAGAUCGCGAAAGAGGCAACUUUAGGAGAACAUGUUGUUCACGUUUUAGCAGUGCAAUGCCAGCAGACGUUGGCUAUUAUGCGGGAUGCACUGGUAGACAUGCAGGGCCACUCACCUACUGCAGGGAAACAGUUGUGAUUUACAGAAGGAGCGAGUUUGCAGGAUGGUGUUUGUUAUCUGUGUGAUAAACCAAUACUGCUUUAGAAUUUGUAUAAAACUGUUGCUAUUUUGCGCCAUGGGCUUUGCCAUGUCGCAACAGGAGGGAGAUAAUGAGUAGUUUAUACUUUAAGAUUAAAUACCCUUAAAAAAAA
This is a long non-coding RNA of Oreochromis niloticus (Nile tilapia), 1565 nucleotides long. RefSeq lists it as uncharacterized. The transcript is spliced from 2 exons. The record is from RefSeq and is a predicted model, not a curated record. NCBI's taxonomy places the organism in Eukaryota, Metazoa, Chordata, Actinopteri, Cichliformes, Cichlidae.